RNAcentral lists this microRNA precursor (87 nucleotides) under Branchiostoma belcheri (Belcher's lancelet). Its description in RNAcentral is "microRNA bbe-mir-4899 precursor". It matches the Rfam family "mir-4899 microRNA precursor family". Lineage: Eukaryota; Metazoa; Chordata; Leptocardii; Amphioxiformes; Branchiostomatidae. The record is from miRBase by way of RNAcentral.
UGCCUGUGGACUAACUCCCUCACAACGGGCCAGCUGAAUACUUCCUGUUUCUUCCUGGUCGUAUUGAGGGAGAGAAAAAUGGUUUCC